This 48-nucleotide small nuclear RNA is filed under the name Cervus elaphus hippelaphus. The record is from RNAcentral. Lineage: Eukaryota; Metazoa; Chordata; Mammalia; Artiodactyla; Cervidae.
UACUCUUGUUUCUCUUCAGAUUGCAUACAUCUUUUACCUUUGGCUAAA